GCUAUAUUCUCUGACUUUUGUGAAAGGAUUUGUGAGGUAUUCAUGGAUGACUUCUCCGUUUAUGCAUCCUCUUUUGAUGAUUGCUUGAUCAACCUCGAUCGAGUUUUGCAGAGAUGCGGAGACACUAGUCUUGUCUUGAAUUGGGAAAAGUGCCACUUUAUGGUUAAUGAAGGCAUUGUCUUGGGGCAUAAAAUUUCAAGAGGUAUUAAAGUUGAUAAAGCUAAAGUUGAUGCUAUUGAAAAGAUGACAUGUCCCAAGGACAAUAAAGGUAUAAGAAGUUUCCUUGGUCAUGUCGGUUUGUAA
This 303-nucleotide ribosomal RNA is filed under the name Triticum aestivum (bread wheat). Its description in RNAcentral is "partial small subunit ribosomal RNA". The record is from RNAcentral. Lineage: Eukaryota; Viridiplantae; Streptophyta; Magnoliopsida; Poales; Poaceae.